UAUCCUGUCUGAAUAUGGGGGGACCAUCCUCCAAGGCUAAAUACUCCUGACUGACCGAUAGUGAACCAGUACCGUGAGGGAAAGGCGAAAAGAACCCCUGUGAGGGGAGUGAAAUAGAACCUGAAACCGUGUACGUACAAGCAGUAGGAGCACCUUCGUGGUGUGACUGCGUACCUUUUGUAUAAUGGGUCAGCGACUUAUAUUCAGUGGCAAGGUUAACCAUCUAGGGGAGCCGUAGGGAAACCGAGUCUUAACUGGGCGCCAUAGUCUCUGGAUAUAGACCCGAAACCGAGUGAUCUAGCCAUGGGCAGGUUGAAGGUUGAGUAACAUCAACUGGAGGACCGAACCGACUAAUGUUGAAAAAUUAGCGGAUGACUUGUGGCUAGGGGUGAAAGGCCAAUCAAACUCGGAGAUAGCUGGUUCUCCCCGAAAGCUAUUUAGGUAGCGCCUCGGACGAAUACUACUGGGGGUAGAGCACUGUUAAGGCUAGGGGGUCAUCCCGACUUACCAACCCUUUGCAAACUCCGAAUACCAGUAAGUACUAUCCGGGAGACACACGGCGGGUGCUAACGUCCGUCGUGGAGAGGGAAACAACCCAGACCGCCAGCUAAGGUCCCAAAUUACAGCUAAGUGGGAAACGAUGUGGGAAGGCUUAGACAGCUAGGAUGUUGGCUUAGAAGCAGCCAUCAUUUAAAGAAAGCGUAAUAGCUCACUAGUCGAGUCGGCCUGCGCGGAAGAUGUAACGGGGCUAAGUU
RNAcentral lists this ribosomal RNA (755 nucleotides) under Vibrio vulnificus. RNAcentral's name for it is "partial 23S ribosomal RNA". It matches the Rfam family "Bacterial large subunit ribosomal RNA", at positions 430 to 1188 of the family's 2925-position model. The record is from RNAcentral. Lineage: Bacteria; Pseudomonadati; Pseudomonadota; Gammaproteobacteria; Vibrionales; Vibrionaceae.